UACGUAGGGUGCGAGCGUUGUCCGGAAUUAUUGGGCGUAAAGAGCUCGUAGGCGGUCUGUUACGUCUGCUGUGAAAACCCUGGGCUUAACCCUGGGCUUGCAGUGGAUACGGGCAGACUAGAGGCAGGUAGGGGAGAAUGGAAUUCCCGGUGUAGCGGUGAAAUGCGCAGAUAUCGGGAGGAACACCGGUGGCGAAGGCGGUUCUCUGGGCCUGACCUGACGCUGAGGAGCGAAAGCGUGGGGAGCGAACAGG
Molecule: ribosomal RNA, 253 nt
Filed under: uncultured bacterium
Lineage: Bacteria
Description: partial 16S ribosomal RNA
Rfam family: Bacterial small subunit ribosomal RNA
Source: RNAcentral